UGAGGAAUAUUGGUCAAUGGCCGAGAGGCUGAACCAGCCAAGUCGCGUGAGGGAAGAAUGUCCUAUGGAUUGUAAACCUCUUUUGUCAGGGAGCAAAGUCAUCCACGUGUGGGUGUUGGAGAGUACCUGAAGAAAAAGCAUCGGCUAACUCCGUGCCAGCAGCCGCGGUAAUACGGAGGAUGCGAGCGUUAUCCGGAUUUAUUGGGUUUAAAGGGUGCGUAGGCGGGUUAUCAAGUCAGCGGUAAAAUCGUGGAGCUCAACUCCAUCCAGCCGUUGAAACUGAUGAUCUUGAGUGGGCGAGAA
This 303-nucleotide ribosomal RNA is filed under the name uncultured bacterium. RNAcentral describes it as "bacterial SSU rRNA". It matches the Rfam family "Bacterial small subunit ribosomal RNA", at positions 355 to 656 of the family's 1533-position model. The record is from RNAcentral.